AGAAUCAACGCUGGCGGCGUGCCUAACACAUGCAAGUCGAGCGCGAAGGGGGAGCAAUCCCCGAGUAGAGCGGCGAACGGGUGAGUAACGCGUGGGUAAUCUACCUCCGAGUGGGGAAUAACAGCGGGAAACUGCUGCUAAUACCGCAUGACAUCGUCGAGCCUUCGGGCCUGACGAUCAAAGCCGGGGACCGCAAGGCCUGGCGCUUGGAGAGGAGCCCGCGUCCGAUUAGCUAGUUGGCGGGGUAAUGGCCCACCAAGGCUCCGAUCGGUAGCCGGCCUGAGAGGGCGACGGCCACGACUGGGACUGAGACACGGCCCAGACUCCUACGGAGGCAGCAGUGGGAAUUUUCGCAAUGGGGAAACCCUGACGAAGCAACGCCGCGUGGAGGAUGAAGGCCUUCGGGUCGUAAACGUCCUGUCGACCGGACGAACGCUAUUGGCCCAACGACGCCCGAUAGUCGACGUGUACCGGUGGAGGAAGCCACGGCCUAACUCUGUGCCACGCACGCCGCGGUAAUCCGUA
Molecule: ribosomal RNA, 525 nt
Filed under: uncultured soil bacterium
Lineage: Bacteria
Description: bacterial SSU rRNA
Rfam family: Bacterial small subunit ribosomal RNA
Source: RNAcentral